GAACAUCCAUGAGCUGAUCCUGCACCCUGAACCCCCUCCCUCAUCCUGUCUUUAAAAACCUUUCCCCGAAAGCCACUGGAGAAGUCAGGCCUUCUGAGCACUAGCUGCCUGGACUCCUUACAAUCAAUGCUCCACUUCCCUUCAGCACCAUCAACAGAUGUCAGGUGCCACUGGCUUUACUGCACACAGCCGCCAUCCUGAUAGGUGUGAGAUGAUGUCCGACUGUGGUUUUGACUUGCAUUUCCCUGAUGAUUAGUUACGUUGAGCAUCUUUUCACAUACCUGUGGGCCAUUGUGCAGCAUUAUUGGCAAUGGCAAAGAUGUGGAAGCAGCCUAUAUGUCCACUGAUGAAUGAAUGAAGAAGAUGUGGUAUGCAGACCCAAAGGAACGUUACUCAGCUUUUUAAAAAAGGAAAGCCUCCUAUAUCCAACAACAUGCAAGAACUUGGAGGACACUAUGCUCAGUGAAAUAAGCUAAUUACAGAAGACAAAUAUUGUAAGAUUCUAUUUAUAUGAAGAAUCUAAAAAUAGACAAACUGAAGCAGAGUAGAAUGGUGGUUGCCAGCAGCUGGGGUAAGGGAGAAAGAAAGAGUUCCAAGUCAAUGAACAGAGAGUUUCGGUCAGGCAAGAUGAAUACCUUCUAUAGAUCUGCUGUACAACCACGUGCGCGUAGAUGACAAUACUGUAUAUUCAAAAUUGUGUUAAGAGAGCAGAUCGCAUAUAAAGUGUUCUUACCACAGUUUAAAAGGGGGAGAUCAAAGUAUCUAAAUAAAUAUUUCUCGUAAAAAGAUAGGAAAAUGGCCAAUAAGCAGGUGAAAAAUGCUCUCAUUAGCCAUUAAGGAAAUGCAAAUCAAAACACAAUGAGCUACCACUUCACACCCACCAGGAUGGCUAUACUCAAAAAAGGCAUAUAAUACUAAGUACUGGCAAUGAUGUGGAGAAACUAGAACUCUUGUACGUGGUGGGGACCACUGUGAAGUGGCUCAGCCACUCUGUAAAACAGUCUGGUUGUUCUUCAAAGGAUUGGCCACAGAGUUACAAUAUAACUCAGCAAUUCCAAUCUGGGAAAAUAUAUACUCAAGAAAAAUGAAAAGAGAAAUGAAAACAUAUAUCCAUGUAAGAAUCUGUACAUGAAUGUUUGGAGAAACAUUAUUCAUAAUAACUAAGAAGUAGAAACAAUCCAGAUGUCUGUCAACUGAUGAAUGAAUAAAUUGUGAUAGAGUCAUAAAAGAGAAUAUCAUUCAGUAAAAAGUAAUGAAGUACUGAUAAUACUAUGAGACAGCUAAACCUUGAAAACGUUAUACUCAGUGAAAGAAGGCAUUCAAAAGACUGCCUAUUAUAUGAUUCCAUUUAUAUGAGAUGUCCAGAAUAGACAAAUCUACAGAGAUAAAAGUAAAUUAGUGGUUGCUUAGGGCAAGGAGAGUAGGGAGGGAUGGGGAGAUAACUGAUAAUGUGUAUAGGAUUUCUUUUUGAAGUGAUGAAAAUGUUCCAAAGUUGAUUAUGCUGAUGAUUGCCCAACUCUACGGAUAUACUAAAAAUCAUUGAAUUGUACAAUUUAAAUGGGUGAAUUGUAUGAUAUAUGAAUUGUAUCUCAAUAAAGCUAUUUUUAAAAAAUUCAAUGGAAUGGAGGUGCUUGUUUAAAAAUCAGGAUUUCCA
Long non-coding RNA from Bubalus bubalis (water buffalo), 1654 nucleotides. RefSeq lists it as uncharacterized. The transcript has 3 exons. NCBI's taxonomy places the organism in Eukaryota, Metazoa, Chordata, Mammalia, Artiodactyla, Bovidae. The record is from RefSeq and is a predicted model, not a curated record.